Molecule: ribosomal RNA, 530 nt
Filed under: uncultured eukaryote
Lineage: Eukaryota
Description: SSU rRNA
Rfam family: Eukaryotic small subunit ribosomal RNA
Source: RNAcentral
AGUUCAUAUGCUUUUCUCAAAGAUUAAGCCAUGCAUGUCUAAGUACAAGCCUCACUAAGGUGAAACCCCGAAUGGCUCAUUAAAUCACACCUAAUCUACUGGAUAGUUAACAGUUACUUGGAUAACUGCGGUAAUUCUGGAGCUAAUACAUGCACAAAGCCCCGAACUUACGUGAGGGGCGCUUUUAUUAGAUCAAAACCAAACGGCUUCGGCUGUAUCCUUGGUGACUCUGAAUAACUUUGGGCUGAUCGCAUGGCCUAGCGCCGGCGACAUAUCCUUCGAAGGUGUGCCCUAUCAACUGUCGACUGUGGCAUAGACGCCCACAGUGGUUUUGACGGGUAACGGGGAAUCAGGGUUCGAUUCCGGAGAGGGAGCCUUAAAAACGGCUACCACAUCUAAGGAAGGCAGCAGGCACGCAAAUUACCCAAUGACCGAAGGUCGAGGUAGUGACAAAAAAUAACGAUACGGGACUCAUCUGAGGCCCCGUAAUCGGAAUGAGUACACUUUAAAACCGUCCCCGAGGAUCUAUU